UGGAUGACCAAUCUAAAACUAAACCCUAAUGGACUACUAUAAAUACAUAGCAAACACUCACAAUUCUACAUUUCUGUUGCUAAACAGAUUUAAAAUAUGGAGCCAGUUCUGAAUUCACUUGAUGCGAAAAAACAAGCAUGCGAUAUUGAAAAAUCUAAGGAUGAUGGUGAUAAUAGUGUUGAAAUUAUUUCUUAUGGUGCAAUGUUCAGUCCAUACAAGUCUAAGCUUCAACGUCAAUUUAGUGAAGAGGAUCGGAAGUAUGAGAAUCAAAAGAAAAGAUCUAAGAGACUCUCUGAAU
Long non-coding RNA from Helianthus annuus (common sunflower), 298 nucleotides. RefSeq lists it as uncharacterized. Lineage: Eukaryota; Viridiplantae; Streptophyta; Magnoliopsida; Asterales; Asteraceae. The record is from RefSeq and is a predicted model, not a curated record. The transcript has 3 exons.